This is a long non-coding RNA of Marmota marmota marmota (Alpine marmot), 1680 nucleotides long. The record is from Ensembl. NCBI's taxonomy places the organism in Eukaryota, Metazoa, Chordata, Mammalia, Rodentia, Sciuridae.
CUCAGAACUCACAUGCUUCUGGCAAGGUAAUUGAUCUUCUAUGAUUAUUUCAUUGUAUUAACUGGGUACUGGAUUAAAUACACACUAUUUAUAUGAUAUCUUUGUCUCUAAGCACAUGAAGCCUUCCAUCAUAAUCAAAGAUUCUCUUCUAUGUAAGUCAAAACAGAAGCAAGAAAGAAGGACACUCAAAUCAGGUUCUUCACAUCACAUAAUAAAACAUAAAAAACGUUACUGCUCACAGUGUUUACUACAAAAAAAUGCAAAACUGGAAAAUGAACUUUAUGAACUUGAAAAGAAAUAUGCUGAAGUAAAAAGUGUAACAUCAGAGCUUAAAAAGGAAAAUGUAGCAUGGAAACAAGAACUUCAAAAUAUGAGGGACAAGUUAAAUGAAAUAACAAAUGAAGAUAAUAAAGGAAUUAAAAAGAAACCUGAAACAUCUGUCAGAAAAUUUGAUACAGAAUUAAAUAUUACAGCAGAUGAAUUUAAUCAGGUUUCACAGUUGGAAAUGACAACCAGUGACCUAGAAAAUGAGAUUGGUCAGAAAAGAGAUACUCUCAGAGUAAGGACUUUGGUUUCAGAACAAGAAAAAAGACAUACAUAUCAAAAUGAACAAAGGGAAAUGGAAGAACACAUCAGAAAGCAGGAAUCUAUUAGAGAGAGGAGAAUAUGUAGACUCCAAAGUGAAAUUACACAGCUUCAACAGGAAUUUCAUGACCUUAAAAACAAAGUUGAAAAUCAAAUCGAUACAUUCACUCAUAACCAAAACCAAUGUUUUGACAUUAUAAGACAAUUGCAAGCUCAGAAUGAAAGAUACCGUCUCUUUCUGGAAAGCAGAAAUAUGAGGUUAAUCCAUGAAAAUAGUCUUUUACAAAAAGAUAGCAGUAUGAAAAGAGAAAGCAGAAAAUGAAGGUAAGUAUCAAGCAAGUAAACUAUUUGAAUUGUCUUUGAAGGGGCACUCAAAGUGAUAUUUGUGUAUGGCUAAAUGUUGCAUCUAGGUGAAUGUAAAAAUUCAAAUAUUAUAAACACAUUUUCUGUCUCAACACAGAAACAUAACUGAUUUCCAGCAAAUACAACUUAGACCUCAUUGAAGUGAUAAGUCUUCCAAUUUCCCUGAUCUGAUUGUUAUACAGUGUGUGCCCAUUUUGAAAUAACACUCUACCUCAUAAAUGUGUACAGUUAUAAGCCAAUUAAGCACAGAAGACUUAGAGUUACAUAGAACUCAUUUUAAAAUUUAAGAAAAAAAAUAUUGAAAACCUUGGACCUAAUAGAUACUUCAUUUUGAGUAAAGAAUUGUAAAGUUUUAAGAGGUUGAAUUAUAGAUUUUCAGUAGCUAUAUAUGCUGACAUUCAUAAUAUAUUCUCAAUAAUGUUGAAACAAUAUCUAUAUUUGUUGCUGAUAAUUGAACCCCCAAAGCUUUGCACAUGAUAAUCACAUGAUCUACCACUGGAAUACACACCAUCCCCAUGUCUUCCUGUUGCCAAACUUUAAGACCAUGAGGAAAUAGAUAAAUGGAAAUGCUUAUACCUAAUUGCAAUUAACAUUUCAUUACAGAUUUCCCAGCCGAACUGAAAUGCAGAUGCUGUAUUUCAUGAUAUAUUUCUUUCACUAAAUGUUAUAUAUUUCUAGUUGGUAGAUUUAAUUGUAUUCAUGUCAAAUUGAUUUAAAUCAAAAAAAUAGCUG